Non-coding RNA from Ornithorhynchus anatinus (platypus), 145 nucleotides. The record is from RefSeq and is marked provisional. NCBI's taxonomy places the organism in Eukaryota, Metazoa, Chordata, Mammalia, Monotremata, Ornithorhynchidae.
GUGUCUUUAGAAAAAAUGUGAGAUUGUAGAGAGAGAAAUGAGAACUAGGCCAAAGGGUUCAAAAUAGAUCAGGCAAAGAAAUCACUGAAAGUACUAGUUAGGUGUAUCUAGAUGAAUUAGCUCUCUUAUAAGAACAUCUAUGCUU